Molecule: long non-coding RNA, 872 nt
Filed under: Panax ginseng (ginseng)
Lineage: Eukaryota; Viridiplantae; Streptophyta; Magnoliopsida; Apiales; Araliaceae
Description: long non-coding RNA (PGIN_LNC006827)
Source: RNAcentral
AAUUAUGUGGUAUUUAAUUCAUUUAAAUACGUUAUUAAUGAUCGGAAAAUUUAGAUAAAUGAUAUUAAUUAUCUGAAAAAUAUUUCAAGCUUAUGAAAAUCAUUUAGACUGAUAAGAAAAUUAUCUGUGAUAUCGUCAAGUGUUUAGGCAGAGUUUAAUUAAACUUAGACUCCUUAAAUUGUCCGACUAGACCGUCGGGAUGAUAGAAUUGUACCGAUUUCAACUCGGACUGAAAUAGUUUGACUUGAAGCUAUGUCUUAUGUGUAUAAGAGACUGAUAAGAUUAUGUGGUAAUAUGUUUAAGUUAUUUUAUAACUGUGAUGAUAUUAUUCUAAUACUGGAGAUCUAUAUUAUUAAUAUUAGGUCUUCGGGAGAAGCUUAUUAUAUUGUGUUACGGUAAUCAACGGUUCAGGCAAGUUUUUAAGUUUUUCAAGUUCUUUUUACUUAAACUCUUUUAAGAGUGGUUUCAGACAGAUAUGCUUAUGAAUUGUACUCUGUACAUAUUGCAUGUAUUCAUCAGGUAUGAAAGGCUGAUCACCUUCAUUACCAGUCAGUUCAGAUAUAAUUGUUAUGUUCAUUUUCAAUGUUCAUUCAGCUUUGAAAUUUUGUUCAUGCUAAUUCACAACUACAUUGUGAAGGAUAGCCAGCUUAUUAUUCAAACUCUUUCAAUCAUGAUAUAUCUUUACCUUGUUUUUUUUAAACUUGCUGGGCAACUUUCAUGCUCACCCUUGCUAUAUCAUGAUAAAACAUUGCAGAUAAGGCGAAUACAGCCAGAUACAGAAAAAGGAUAAUGCCAAGUUCAGCUUGGUACAGAAUGUGAAGUUAAGUUGUAAAGUAUGUUGAAGAAUAGUAUUGUCAUGUGCUAGAUAGUUC